RNAcentral lists this ribosomal RNA (540 nucleotides) under Escherichia coli. Its description in RNAcentral is "bacterial SSU rRNA". It matches the Rfam family "Bacterial small subunit ribosomal RNA", at positions 45 to 574 of the family's 1533-position model. Lineage: Bacteria; Pseudomonadati; Pseudomonadota; Gammaproteobacteria; Enterobacterales; Enterobacteriaceae. The record is from RNAcentral.
GGCCUAACACAUGCAAGUCGAACGGUAACAGAAAGCAGCUUGCUGCUUUGCUGACGAGUGGCGGACGGGUGAGUAAUGUCUGGGAAACUGCCUGAUGGAGGGGGAUAACUACUGGAAACGGUAGCUAAUACCGCAUAACGUCGCAAGACCAAAGAGGGGGACCUUCGGGCCUCUUGCCAUCGGAUGUGCCCAGAUGGGAUUAGCUUGUUGGUGGGGUAACGGCUCACCAAGGCGACGAUCCCUAGCUGGUCUGAGAGGAUGACCAGCCACACUGGAACUGAGACACGGUCCAGACUCCUACGGGAGGCAGCAGUGGGGAAUAUUGCACAAUGGGCGCAAGCCUGAUGCAGCCAUGCCGCGUGUAUGAAGAAGGCCUUCGGGUUGUAAAGUACUUUCAGCGGGGAGGAAGGGAGUAAAGUUAAUACCUUUACUCAUUGACGUUACCCGCAGAAGAAGCACCGGCUAACUCCGUGCCAGCAGCCGCGGUAAUACGGAGGGUGCAAGCGUUAAUCGGAAUUACUGGGCGUAAAGCGCACGCAG